Molecule: long non-coding RNA, 1233 nt
Organism: Micropterus salmoides (largemouth bass)
Lineage: Eukaryota; Metazoa; Chordata; Actinopteri; Centrarchiformes; Centrarchidae
Exons: 3
Source: RefSeq, a predicted model, not a curated record
UUCCUGGCCAGGACGGGUUGCCGGGCCAACCAGGCCAACCAGGAUAUCCGGGGAAACCUGGCAAGCCUCCCUCAGAUGAACAUCUUCUAAAGCUCUGUGAGGACGUUCUGCGCAAUCAACUUCCAGCACUGCUCCAGACCCUGAUCCCCACAGCUGGGUGUGAACCUUGCCAGAGCAUGAAGGGACCCCCGGGUGAGCCAGGACCACCAGGGCCCAAAGGCUCCAUGGGAACUCCAGGCUACCCUGGCAGGAAUGGUGCUCCCGGUUACCCAGGACCUCCUGGCCUGCAGGGUCCUGUAGGCCUUAAAGGUGAUAUAACCCAUAAUGUAGGGAUUGACAUGGUAAUAAUCAACACCUUAGGACAAGUUUAUAGUAUCUGUAUUUAAUACUCCCUUUUGAGGCAGAGGUGUCAGAUUCACUGUCUGCAAGUGUAACUGAAACUUGAAAACAAGACAAUGAAUAACAACAUCAAUUCAUGAACAGGAGCUAAGACAAAAUGUAUUGCUCUCAUCAACGAUUAAAAUCAAAACAGUGUCAGCGACUAACAAAUUGAAUGUGUUAAUGCUCAGUGUACCCCAUAAAACAAGAUCAUUAAACAAGUGAACAUCAGCACAGCUACAGACAUAAAAAUCUUAGUGAGCUGUCUCUGAUUUAUCAUCACUUGAAGAUAGCGAGUGGCUAAUCAGCCGUGAAAGAUGCCAAACUGUACCACUCCACUGCUGUGUAUCAUUUCCACUCACUGGGUCAGGCAAACAGCAACUUCUGAGGUAUCAGGCUUGGUUGAAAACCCUGAGGGAAGAGACAAUUUAUAAGUAAAAUUUACUUAUUUUUUUGCUAAUUAGCAAAUAUUAGCAUGCUAACAAGCUAAACUAAGAUGGUGAACACUGUGAACAUUAGAUAUCAAAUGCUAAAUAUCAAAAUAUUAGCUUUGUCACUGUGAGCAUGUUAGCAUGCUUACAUUAUAUUUAAGCUGAGAACAACACUAUGCCAAAAUACAGCAUCACAGAGCCGCUAGCAUGGCAGGAGGCUGCGGUCCAUCAGGACCAAACCUCUCGCCACAAGAACAGUUUCUUUCCGAUGGCAGUGGGCUUCCUCAACAAGGCCUGGGUCCCCACUGUCACUGAUUCUCAUGCCCCCCUCCCCAAACACACACACACACUUAUACACACUCUAGACCCCUACACUUUACAACGCUCAGCUGUGCUUUAUGCUUAUGUUGUGAACUUUUGCACA